AGCCGCGGUAAUACGGAGGGAGCUAGCGUUGUUCGGAAAUACUGGGCGUAAAGCGCACGUAGGCGGCACUGCAAGUCAGGGGUGAAAGCCCGGGGCUCAACCCCGGAACGGCCUUUGAAACUAGUGGGCUAGAAUCUUGGAGAGGUCAGUGGAAUUCCGAGUGUAGAGGUGAAAUUCGUAGAUAUUCGGAAGAACACCAGUGGCGAAGGCGACUGACUGGACAAGUAUUGACGCUGAGGUGCGAAAGCGUGGGGAGCAAACA
Molecule: ribosomal RNA, 262 nt
Filed under: uncultured bacterium
Lineage: Bacteria
Description: partial 16S ribosomal RNA
Rfam family: Bacterial small subunit ribosomal RNA
Source: RNAcentral